CCUCCUCCUCCGCCUCCUACAGAGCUCCUGGCCUCCUCGGUCCCGCGAGGGAGUCUCCGACCCUCCCCGGCUCUCGCUUUAAUCCCAGGAGGCGGUGUCCGAGUGCCCAGGACGACAACCCCCCGCCCCGUGCAGUACGCCAAAUAAUGUGGAUUGCUUCAGAAUAAGGCGGAAACACAAGAAAACCGACCUCAUUCCAAGUCACGUGCUGCCGUGGCUCAGCGCUCCUUCCUGGCCUGGCCUCCCUGCGAGCUGGACUUCCCUAGUAUCCUUCAGGAAGGAGGGAAGAGACAUUUCCAGACAAAUCGAGACAGUGCUGACCACAAUAAAGAAACCUGAAAAGUUCAGUAAAACAUGAAAUAAUCCCAGAAGGGAAUGCCAGAGGAAAUGGUGACCAAGAAAAUGGUAAAAAGGUGGGUAAGUCUAACCAAAUAUGGACAGUACAAACUAACACCAUCGAAGAUGUUUAAUUUGUAAAGGUAAGGAGACAAUGACAGCAACAGAAACUAGAAGUGAAAUGCUGGAAGAUAACAGCAUGAAAACGUAGUAUCACCCCUAGCUGGAUGAACAAAAUUAAAGCAUUUCAAUGGUUGUAUUAUUCUGGAGAAGAAGAAACAUACUGGUUAACUUUAGACUUUGUAGAAUGUUUUGUUAAAAGGAUGACUACGAAAGGAUGAAAAUAGAGUGCAUAUUGAUUGUGUCUGAACCUAACGCAGAAACAAUGGGAUAAAGGGGGAAAGUCAAUGACACCGAGGGCAGUAAAGCAAAGAAGAAGGUUGGGGCGGGGGAGGAAGGGUGAAACGGAACCCAGGAAAACGAGAUGAAGGGAGAUGUAGAACUAUAUACAAACAGGUCGAUGAUCAUAAUACAUGCAAGCACUCCAGACGGCCCAGUUUAUAUGAACAGAAUUUUUUUUUAACAUAAAUGAUCAGAGUACCUACUUUUUAAGACAGCUGUAAGUUUAUGAGACAUAGGUAGAAAGGGCACAUGUAAAAGAAAGCUGGUUUGGCCCUGCUCAGAGUAGACAAAACAGACUUUAGAAUAAAAAGUUGCAUUAAGAGUAAGGAGAAUCACCUUACAAUGAUAAGAUAAACAAGUCACUGGGGCAAUGUAACAGUCAUGAGCUUGUGCAUACCUGAUAACGUAGUCUCCAAACUAUUUGAAGAAAAAAUGUCUAGAACGACAAGACCUUCAUAAAUUCACCGUCCUCCCUCGUGGUCAUGAAAGGUCAAGUCAACCAACCAACCACCAAAACAAACAGAACAAGACAGUAAAAAUGUAGAAGAUUCGAAGAACGCCAUGAGCAAGUUUAGUGAUGGGCACCUUCAUGAAGUAAUCAGCCAGCCGGUUUUCCAGGUUAUUUCUCAGAAACAAUUGAGAACCACGCUAUUGCAGGGUUUCAAAAAUUCUUCAAAGGAAUAGAAAUAUCGAAAAUACUGUUCAACUCAUCAAUGCCUCAACCAGGAAGGACAGUUCAAGGAAAAUUACAAGCCAGCCUAACUCAUAAAUGUAAAUGUAAAAUCCCAAACGAAUAUUAGGAAAAUGUAUCUAACCAUGUGCUAAAAAGAUUAUGACCAAGUUGGAUUAUGUUAGGAUUGUGAUAUUGCUUUAACUUAGAAAAGCAGCUUUCGGUAUAGCCCGACACAGUAACACAUUCAAACAGGAAAAUUAUAAAGUUAUCUUAACAUAUUUAGAACGAACAUUUAAUAAAAUUCAACACAUGUCCAGAAGGACUUUGCAAAAAGUCCUUUGCAAAAGUGAAGUAAAAGAAAACUUUCUUACCUGAUGAAAGACAUCUGUAUAAAUCCCACAAAAUACCCUUAUUGAUAAUAUGAAAAAGAUGAUGCCUUGGCUGGUGUGGCUCAGUGGAUUGAGCGCUGGCCUACCAACCAAAGGGCUGUGGGUUCGAUUCCCAGUCAGGGCACAUGCCUGGGUUGUGGGCCAGGUCUCCAGUAGGGGACGCUUGAGAGGCAACCACACACUGAUGUUUCCCUCUCUUUCUCUCUCCCCCCUCUAAAAAUAAAUAAAUAAAAUCUUUAAAAAAGAAAAAGAAAAAGAUUACUUCUAGAAACACUCAGCUCAGCAUUGUACUGAAGGUUUAAGCCUUGGUAGCCAAUGAGGAAAAGGAAAUUAAACUAGUGAGAAUUACAAAA
Long non-coding RNA from Phyllostomus hastatus (greater spear-nosed bat), 2153 nucleotides. RefSeq lists it as uncharacterized. The transcript is spliced from 3 exons. Lineage: Eukaryota; Metazoa; Chordata; Mammalia; Chiroptera; Phyllostomidae. The record is from RefSeq and is a predicted model, not a curated record.